Herpailurus yagouaroundi (jaguarundi) is the source of this 943-nucleotide long non-coding RNA. RefSeq lists it as uncharacterized. The transcript has 2 exons. The record is from RefSeq and is a predicted model, not a curated record. Lineage: Eukaryota; Metazoa; Chordata; Mammalia; Carnivora; Felidae.
GAAGGGGGUUCCAGAGCUGCUGGCCAACGGUCCCUCACCAAGUGGCUUCACCUUUGAACGAUAAGCCUCUCCUUGAAGCACAUCCAGGGCGAGGGAGGGAGAAGGCCCGGCCUCUUGGGCGUGGGGCCCUAAGCCGGUUGCUUCACGUUGCUGAGAUUUGAUUUCCACACAUGGGAAGCAAGAGGGGCCAGAGAGCCUGUGCCUGCCAACCCGCUUCUGGUCUCUGCACUUGCUGUUUCCUCCACGAGUCUAUUUUUUUCUCUUUUCAGAUGUGCGCGUCCUUCUCCCUCAAACCCUCCCUCCCUCCCCCUGUGCUCCCAAGAGCUCCUUUGUGCACGGGGGAGAGGAAGGGCCAUAAAGCCACGUUCCCAGUUGCAGGGCCCAGGAGCUGCGGUUUUAUCGCCUUGCACCUGGUGGGGGGGGGGGGUGCGCUCAGAAGGUGACAGUCGUCUGUAUUAAUAGUAACUGGAGACAUUGUGGAAGGGGGGAGUCCAGGCCCCAGGGGAGAAGCAGCAGAUCCCUGGAGAAGUAGAGGGGGAGGCCCCUGAAAGAGGAUUUGGGUGGGCCAGGGUCAGGGACAGAUUUCUUGGCUACCCUAUGCCCUCCUUUCUCUUGCCCCCACCCCAUGUGUGAGCAGGGAGUAUUCAGGACAGGCUUCCUGGAGGAGGUGACAUCUGAACCCUGAGAGGUGAAUGGAUGGUGGCCUUAAGUGGAGUUAGAGUCCAGAGGGCAGACCCAGGUGGAGGAUGCUGUACUAUCUGAAGAUGAAGAAAGGGGCCAUGAGCCAAGGAACGCAGAUGCUUCUAGAAGCCGGAAACACCUUCUCCCCAGGAGCUUCCAGAAGGAAAAUGUGGCCCUGUGGACACCUGGAUUUCAGCCCAGUGAGACCCGUUUUGGACUUCUGACCUCCAGAACUGUCAGAUAACUGUGUUCUUUUAAGCCA